RNAcentral lists this ribosomal RNA (253 nucleotides) under uncultured bacterium. Its description in RNAcentral is "partial 16S ribosomal RNA". It matches the Rfam family "Bacterial small subunit ribosomal RNA", at positions 524 to 776 of the family's 1533-position model. The record is from RNAcentral.
UACAGAGGGUGCAAGCGUUAAUCGGAAUUACUGGGCGUAAAGCGUGCGCAGGCGGUUUUGUAAGUCAGAUGUGAAAUCCCCGGGCUUAACCUGGGAAUUGCAGUGGAUACUGGCAAGCUGGAGUAUGGUAGAGGAAGGCGGAAUUCCCGGUGUAGCAGUGAAAUGCGUAGAGAUCGGGAGGAACACCAGUGGCGAAGGCGGCCUUCUGGACCAAUACUGACGCUCAUGCACGAAAGCGUGGGGAGCAAACAGG